RNAcentral lists this transfer RNA (74 nucleotides) under Capra hircus (goat). It matches the Rfam family "tRNA". From Rfam's summary of the family: Transfer RNA (tRNA) molecules are approximately 80 nucleotides in length. Their secondary structure includes four short double-helical elements and three loops (D, anti-codon, and T loops). RNAcentral also lists the same sequence under 1 other name. Lineage: Eukaryota; Metazoa; Chordata; Mammalia; Artiodactyla; Bovidae. The record is from Rfam by way of RNAcentral.
UCCCUGGUGGCUCAGGUGGUAAAAAGCGUCUGCCUACAGCGCGGGAGACCCAGGUUCGAUCCCUGGGUUGGGAA